Molecule: non-coding RNA, 146 nt
Filed under: unidentified
Source: RNAcentral
UACUCUGACCGCGUUCUUGGUGCCUGCCGCCCUCUCGCGGGCUGGGUAGGUUAAAAGGGAAGUCUGGUAAGAAAUCCAGCGCUGCCCCCGCAACGGUAAUCAGCCCCUGCUGUAAGCCCGAUACCUGCCGGAACAGCAACCGAUGG